UAAUAAUAACAAUACAAUUUAUGUAUGUAUAUAAAAGGUAAUACAUUGAAACGAGACAUGAGGGAUUGGCUUUUUCUCCUCUUCGGUAGAACUCCAAGAACUUUUUGCGAAAAGUCUAAACUAGAAUUUCUCUCGCAUAGAUUGAGGUUGUGGUGUGUGUGAUACUGAUAGUGGCUCUGAAAUGGAAGGAAAUAUGAGGUAAAGGAAAGGCAAAGACUGAAUAGGAGUGAACCUGAGCUCGGGUGAGAUUGUACAUGUCAAAGCAGCGCGACCUGGAGUGUUCGGUCUCGGGACAUCUGGGGAUUUGUAUUUUGGUAGUCGCUGUCCGACCUGUAAUAAAUGUAUAUUUUGAAAAGUUAAUUUUAUAAAGUUUGAAAACGGGAUCCCGAUAUAUGUAAAUAUUUUAUUAUAUUAUGAAGUUUAAUAAUUAAUAUAAAAGUUUUA
Molecule: long non-coding RNA, 444 nt
Organism: Cannabis sativa
Lineage: Eukaryota; Viridiplantae; Streptophyta; Magnoliopsida; Rosales; Cannabaceae
Exons: 3
Source: RefSeq, a predicted model, not a curated record